This 262-nucleotide unclassified non-coding RNA is filed under the name Hevea brasiliensis (rubber tree). Lineage: Eukaryota; Viridiplantae; Streptophyta; Magnoliopsida; Malpighiales; Euphorbiaceae. The record is from RNAcentral.
AUGGCAUUUUUCAUGUGUUACGUGCAUUUGAAGAUCCAGAUAUUAUUCAUGUUGAUGACUCUGUGGAUCCGGUGAGAGAUCUAGAGGUUAUUGGUAAUGAGUUACGACUAAAGGAUAUUGAAUUCAUGGAUAGAAGAGUAGAGGAUCUUGAGAAGAGCAUGAAGAGGAGCAACGACAAGCAUUUAAAAAUAGAGCACGAGUUGUGUGAAAGGGUUAAGGCAUGGCUUGAGGGGGGUAAAGAUGUUCGCCUAGGAGACUGGAA